AAGUCGUAACAAGGUUUCCGUAGGUGAACCUGCGGAAGGAUCAUUACCUAGAGUUGUAGGCUUUGCCUGCUAUCUCUUACCCAUGUCUUUUAAGUACCUUACGUUUCCUCGGCGGGUCCGCCCGCCGAUUGGACAAUUUAAACCAUUUGCAGUUGCAAUCAGCGUCUGAAAAAACUUAAUAGUUACAA
This 188-nucleotide unclassified non-coding RNA is filed under the name plant metagenome. RNAcentral's name for it is "partial contains small subunit ribosomal RNA and internal transcribed spacer 1". The stretch from base 1 to 46 matches the Rfam family "Eukaryotic small subunit ribosomal RNA", at positions 1786 to 1831 of the family's 1831-position model. The record is from RNAcentral.